Molecule: long non-coding RNA, 1163 nt
Organism: Gasterosteus aculeatus aculeatus (three-spined stickleback)
Lineage: Eukaryota; Metazoa; Chordata; Actinopteri; Perciformes; Gasterosteidae
Source: Ensembl
UAACAAUAACCUUGUAUGUGAUUGGAGGACCCUUAGACUCCUCGUCCAAUCACGUGUGAGGUCAUAGGCAUGACUGAUACAGCAGUACUUGCAAGACGAGCAUACAAACAGUGUGUUACUAUAUUCAGAAGAACUGUAUCUCCAGUUCCUUUGUUUGGUUUUUGCUGCUUUGUGAAUAAUGGCUGGACGACGUCUCGCGUUCAACUGGCCUUCAACUCCUCUCCGCGGUCACCAACUUUCGGCCAGUCCGCAGACAGACGUGAAGAAGCUGCUGAAAGCUCUCAGUGGAUCGUCUCGUCAACUCCAACAACAAACUGCCGAUAUCAACGAGCGGUUCGCUCCACUGGAGCGUUCGGGACUCUGCGGGUUUCUGUCCAUAGAGGAGAGGAACCGACUCAAAGAAGAGGAGACGGGCGCACGAUCCCAAGAUAGCGGUAAGAAUACGUUCGAUGACUGCAAGCUAAGCUAAAAGUAGUGUAGCCUCAAGCUAAGCUAAGAGUAGCCUAGUAGCCUUAAUGAGCAGAAACAGCUUUAUUAAAGUGUAUUUUCUUUGCCGUGUCGUUUACAGGAAGCGGUGCGCCGUCUUCACAACUCCGAGACGAAUUACAGGCGCUACGAACCGGAGCAAGGACUAAUCUCGCCUCAUAAUGAGGCGGUGACCUCGUAUUUGCUCCGGGAAAAGUCCAGAUUUAGACGACGUCAUUGUGUCUCCCUGUGAGACGUAUUGUGAGACCGGACGCAGGAGCUUCAGGUUCAGCCGGAACACUCAUUGCGGGCGGAAGCUGCGAAGGAUUCAGCGCGGAGUCAAGCGAGAAGAAAGAGGCUGCUGGAAUCGAGACAAAGUGUGCUGGCUGAUGACGAGGUGGAACUCUGGAAAUCCGCCACCGUAGAGCUCAUGUCGGACGAAGAGGAUGGCGUUGUUGGCGGGGUCUCGGGGUGGAUUGUACGGUCGCCGCCAUUGCGUAGUCAGUCCCGGUUAGAGGCGACUCAGAAAUACCGAGCAACACACACUAGGCGCCUGCACAACAGACCUGCCUCGGAAAACACGCCGCCAGUGACGGUUUACAACCCCGAGGAGGCAAACGGACAGUUUACUGAGCUGUAUUUUUUUAAACCGUCGUUACCCAAGUGUGGGUAGGUCCUCACUUUGGAUAUAGUUGUUG